RNAcentral lists this ribosomal RNA (171 nucleotides) under uncultured eukaryote. Its description in RNAcentral is "partial small subunit ribosomal RNA". It matches the Rfam family "Eukaryotic small subunit ribosomal RNA", at positions 1297 to 1463 of the family's 1831-position model. The record is from RNAcentral.
GUUCGUGUGAUGACAUGUCUGGUUAAUUCCGAUAACGAGCGAGACUUGAACCUAACCUAACUAUGUUUGCGUAAUUUUAUUUAGUUAUUUAUAAUUGGAUAUACUUGCGUAGGACUUCUUAGAGGGACAAUUUGUGAAAAACAAAUGGAAGUUUCAAGCAAAAACAGGUCU